GGUCGAAGAAGGUCCCGACCCGAAAUGUCAGCUUUCCUGCUCCUCUGACGCUGCCUGGCCUGCUGUGUUCCUCCAGCUCCACACUGUGUCAUCUUCUUGGCGUGCUGUUUUUCCUUCCAGGACUACUAGUUUCAUGCUAGACAUCUGAAGAUCUGCUGUUAUUGAUCUUCCACAGUUUUUGCUCAUGGUAAUGCCACUUAUUAAAACCAACCUAAUUCAGGCCCCAUUUGUAAAAUGGCACGUUGCUCACAAGUCCAGUGCUCCAUCUAUUGGCAUCGGUAGGCAAUUUCAGUUGAAGCCAGGAAGUAAACCUCAGGAAAACCAAUAGCUUACUGUCAAGCAUUGAAUUCUAUAAGUAAAUUAUCUUGCUGUGACAACAGACCCCUUUGUUUUAUUUAGCUUGAUGCUGCAUAUAAAUAGAGAAAAAAUCCAAAAACACAAACAACAUGAAGGACAUGCCCAUUAUCAACAGCAAUGCAAUACUUUAAACACGAUAGUAGAAAUAUAAGAGGGCAAAGGGUGACUUAAGCAGGCUAUAUCCAUUAAGAGUCACACCUCAUAACUUGUUGAACCAGUCAUUUGUUGACUUGAAUUACAAACAGUACCCUUUCCAAAUUAACAAUCUUUCUCAUGGCACAUAAAAAAUUCUUGAUCUUAUUCCCCUGUGAGUCUUGCUGGGCUCCCAGAAAAACUCAGGAGAAAUUACUGUUUAAAAAUAUUCGCCAAGACUCUAAAACAGAAACAUUCAACCAUCAUUGAUGCCAUUGCAUGGCAAUAUAUCUUAAAAAAACAAUUUCUCUUCUGAAUCAAUCCUGAAUUUACCUCAAACUGUGAUCUAGAUUACUCAGACCUUUCCUUAUGAAUCCUGCAUGCAUAUAUGCAUGAGUUAUAUUAAUUAUUAAAAUCAGUACUUAGGAGUAAAUCUAUGAUUCUUUUUAACUGAGAUAAUAGUAAUAUAUAAACAAAAGUGAUUUUGACAUUUCAAAAUUGUUCCCUACCAGGAAAUACGUUUAGUGAUGGUCCCCAACUUGAUUUAUCCAUUUCAGUUUGUCUCAGAACUCCCUUGAUGAGAUACUUUUCAUGAGACAACUCCCUUGAAAAGCUGCUGAUAAGAUAAAUUGAUUCCUACACAUCUAUAUUCACCCAUGCUGUUGAAAAAGCAUAUUACAGUAACCUAUCACUGAUUCCAGUAAGUGAUUUCACUACAAACUCUCACUGAAACCAAAGCUACAGGUAUUUGCUUUCUGAAACAUUUUCAUGCCCUGGCUUUCCUUGUAAAGCCUUAAAACUAAAAGCAAUCUGUAUCAUGAAUACUAAUCAAUGGCGCUGCACAAUGACUGAAAAUGGAGAGAGACAAUAAUGAAAUGUACACUGCAAGAUUCCACUGAUGGCUUAAUCACCAGCAUUUGAGACUUUCCCCAUUAUGCCUUGCUUUUCUACCCAAAAGCAACAAUAUGGAAAUAAAGAGAUAGCGAGAACUGCCGAUGCUGGAGUCAGAGAUAACACAGUGUGGAGCUGGAGGAAAACAGCAGG
Rhincodon typus (whale shark) is the source of this 1533-nucleotide long non-coding RNA. RefSeq lists it as uncharacterized. NCBI's taxonomy places the organism in Eukaryota, Metazoa, Chordata, Chondrichthyes, Orectolobiformes, Rhincodontidae. The transcript is spliced from 3 exons. The record is from RefSeq and is a predicted model, not a curated record.